Molecule: long non-coding RNA, 2526 nt
Organism: Gallus gallus (chicken)
Lineage: Eukaryota; Metazoa; Chordata; Aves; Galliformes; Phasianidae
Source: Ensembl
GAAGGAAGGAAGGAAGGAAGGAAGGAAAGAAAGAAGGAAAGAAAGAAAGAAAGAAAGAAAGAAAGAAAGAAAGAAAGAAAGAAAGAAAGAAAGAAAGAAAGAAAGAAAGAAAGAAAGAAAGAAAGAAAGAAAGAAAGAAAGAAAGAAAGAAAGAAAGAAAGGAAGGAAAAAAAAAAAGAAAAAAAGAAAAAAAGAAAAAACAAAAGAAAUAUCAAAGAGAGCCAGGUUCCAACCUGGAACCAGGUUCCAACCAGGUUCCAACUGCUAGACUGUUUGUCCAGCUCCCCAUGUCUUCUAGCACAAGCAGCAUUGCAGUGUGAAGCUUCUGGUUCAUUUAUGCACAGGAAACCUCUUAUUCGGGUGCUACUGAAAUGAGAGCUGUUUCUGCAGGCAAAAGAGGAAGAAAGCUCUGUCACAUGCAGUGUCACACCAGUGAAGUCAUGCACUGGCAUAACAGCAAGUGUUGUCAGUUGUCAAAGGCCAUCUGUAGCCAGCAGACUUAAACUGUCAUCCUGCAAAAAGAUGCAAACAAGCCUAAUGGGAGAUUGCUUUAUCCUCUUUCUGGCAUUCAAUCAAAUGUUCCCUGAACAGACAUAGAAAACAAAGGAUCACUUUUUUUUUUUUUCCUAAAGAAAAACAUUAUUUUUGUGGCAGUUUAUAUAUUUUCAAAAUGACAGGAAAAAUAGGAAGAAUCAAAGAAAAUUCCAUAACCAAAGGGUCACUCGUCAGCUGUGGAUUGCAUGUAACUCUGUUGCUCCAGGGAGAAAGGGAUUGCUCCACUGCUUGCUCUGCAGAAUAGACUCACAGACUUUUGAAUCAUUUAUGCGUUUGCUAUGUAAGUAAUUUGACACUCUACUGUUGUGCUUCCUCUUUUUUUAGGGGGGAGGGGAAGAAGUUAUUUUUAUGGUACCAAACUCUGAGGAAAAUGCUAGAAAAAUGUACAAAAUAAGAGAUCCAUUCCUUGGAGCAGGAAAUGGAUGCACACUUGGAUAUGAUACAUUAAGCAUUCUUUACAAAGUGUAGUGAUGGCUCCCUGUACACUUCAAAUAUCCUCCAGCAGGUAUCAGAUCUUCAAAUCAACCUGCAACUGAAGAGAGGAGACGUGCAGGGGGAGAGGAACACUUUCCAUCACAUGCAGGCCCCAGUGGUGUAAGGGGGGAAAUACUCUGUUCCAUAUUCCUGGAGGCAAAGACAAAUGUGCUUGUUUGGUUGGUUCUAGCGCGGACAGGGUCCAAAGAAGAAGAGCACUGAAAAGUGAAAAAUGAGUCUUGGGAUCUGUGCCUGGUACUGAUGCAAAUGAAGGUGGAACUAUACAAACAGCAACACAAUUGGGCCAUUCAUCAUUCCUUCAUUAGCAGCUUUUCUUCACAACACCCCCAUCAAAGAAAGAAAACCUCCCUUCUUUUUAUUAAAGAUCAAGAGGAUUGAAAAGAAAGCGUAAUUGGCAGAGGAGACAUGCAGUGACAUGGAGACUGCAUGCUCAGCCUGGCCUCGUUGAAGGAGUGCCUUGUAUUGCACUGAGACACAGCACCUGCACUGCAAGAGCAGCACUGAUGCAACUCACAGUCUGCCAGCACGUCAGCUGAAAAAGAGCUCUGCAGAAGUGGGAUCAUGUGAAAUUAAUACUUCCAAACAAAAAUGCAACAAUACCAACAUCCCGCCCAACUAAGGUAUCCACUUGUCUACAACCUUGUCUACAACCAAGCAACCCUGAAAUGGGGUACUUCAAGAAGUAUGAACAGCGACCAUGCUCAAACCAACUGAAUGGGUCUUCUGUUCUCAAUGGGUGAAUUCAACACCUGUCCACACCAACCUCACAGGUGGAGCUGCAGCAGCAAUUAUCAAAACGAGUUCUGAAGAUAAGUUCAUUCAACACCAAAUCAAAGCCUGGAAGUAGCAGCAAGCUAACUAGCUGUGUACAGAAGCCCUGCAAAAACGCAUCCAUCCAUCUUGUUGACAGAAGGGGCUCACACACACAAACUGCUUCCGCAUGAGAAUGGGAAGACAGCACAUGUUGCUCUGUACAACAGCAUACAGGGACCAGAAAUUGAUGGCAUGCAGCUGUGGGGGCAAAAUCUCUUCUCAGCCUGCCCAUGGAGACUUGAAAGGCUGACAGAGGAAAACUUCAUUUAAGCAGUGAUAUCAAAGACAUAAGUCACUGCACUGAAGCAAAGCCUCAUCUGGAACAAGGAAGGGAUUUUUUCCUUUGGCCAUGGCCAUUCCCACUGGAAUCCUGCAGUACUGCAGAGCCACUUCUCCCCACAACCAACCUCCAGACAGUUUCAGCUCUUACACAUAGCAAUCAGUGUUAUCAGUUGGAUGCAUCUCUUGCCGUUUUGCAGAUUAAUUUAGGAAGACAUGCUGUGCAGAGAUUCUUCAGAGAUGCAUGGAAGAAAUGUUCAGGAAAGAAGACGAUAGGACCCUGCUGGCUCUGCUCUCAGCAUUCGUGGGCGCCAUCUGGCGGUCCUUUAUUAAUUAUUGUAAUAUUUUAUGAUAUAUGCCCUGAUCAAAACGACUUGGUCUUGA